Molecule: ribosomal RNA, 345 nt
Filed under: uncultured Planctomycetota bacterium
Lineage: Bacteria; Pseudomonadati; Planctomycetota
Description: bacterial SSU rRNA
Rfam family: Bacterial small subunit ribosomal RNA
Source: RNAcentral
AAUAAACGUUGGCGGCGUGGAUUAGGCAUGCAAGUCGAGCGAGAUCGGUUCCCUCACUUUGUGCUCUUUGGUGUGAAGAGUAUGAAGUGAGGGGACCGUGAAAGCGGCGAAAGGGAGAGUAACGCGUAGUUACGUACCCCGAGGACCGGAAUAGCCACGGGAAACUGUGGGUAAUGCCGGAUAAUAUCUUCGGAUCAAAGGUGUGAUUCCGCCUUGGGAGCGGACUGCGUUGUACUAGCUUGUUGGUAGGGUAAUGGCCUACCAAGGCGAUGAUGCAUAGCGGGUGUGAGAGCAUGACCCGUCUCACUGGGACUGAGACACUGCCCAGACACCUACGGGUGGCAG